CCCAUGUUCUAUUUUUAGCCAUGGCAGCCAUCUUGGUUGGAUGGCCGGGUCACCGGACACAUUUUUCAAACUACUAACCCAAAAGAUGAUUGUGGCCAAGUUUGGAUUAAUUUGGCCAAGUAGUUUCAGAGGAGAAGAUUUUUGUAAAAGAUUACUAAGAUUUACGAAAAAUGGUUAAAAAUUGACUAUAAAGGGCAAUAACUCC
RNAcentral lists this long non-coding RNA (205 nucleotides) under Mytilus galloprovincialis (Mediterranean mussel). Lineage: Eukaryota; Metazoa; Mollusca; Bivalvia; Mytilida; Mytilidae. The record is from RNAcentral.